UACGUAGGGAGCAAGCGUUGUCCGGAAUCAUUGGGCGUAAAGCGCGCGUAGGUGGCCUCAUAAGUCCGUUGUGAAAGUCAAAGGCUCAACCUUUGAAAGCCGAUGGAUACUGUGAGGCUAGAGUCCGGAAGAGGCGAGUGGAAUUCCUGGUGUAGCGGUGGAAUGCGCAGAUAUCAGGAGGAACACCGGUGGCGAAGGCGGGUCUCUGGGCCGAUACUGACGCUGAGACGCGAAAGCGUGGGGAGCAAACAGG
RNAcentral lists this ribosomal RNA (253 nucleotides) under uncultured bacterium. RNAcentral describes it as "partial 16S ribosomal RNA". It matches the Rfam family "Bacterial small subunit ribosomal RNA", at positions 524 to 776 of the family's 1533-position model. The record is from RNAcentral.